CUGGGACAAGCCCUGGAAACGGGGUCUAAUACCGGAUACUGACCCUCGCAGGCAUCUGCGAGGUUCGAAAGCUCCGGCGGUGAAGGAUGAGCCCGCGGCCUAUCAGCUUGUUGGUGAGGUAAUGGCUCACCAAGGCGACGACGGGUAGCCGGCCUGAGAGGGCGACCGGCCACACUGGGACUGAGACACGGCCCAGACUCCUACGGGAGGCAGCAGUGGGGAAUAUUGCACAAUGGGCGAAAGCCUGAUGCAGCGACGCCGCGUGAGGGAUGACGGCCUUCGGGUUGUAAACCUCUUUCAGCAGGGAAGAAGCGAAAGUGACGGUACCUGCAGAAGAAGCGCCGGCUAACUACGUGCCAGCAGCCGCGGUAAUACGUAGGGCGCAAGCGUUGUCCGGAAUUAUUGGGCGUAAAGAGCUCGUAGGCGGCUUGUCACGUCGG
Molecule: ribosomal RNA, 440 nt
Filed under: Streptomyces sp. SCAU5039
Lineage: Bacteria; Bacillati; Actinomycetota; Actinomycetes; Kitasatosporales; Streptomycetaceae
Description: bacterial SSU rRNA
Rfam family: Bacterial small subunit ribosomal RNA
Source: RNAcentral